UACGGGAGGCAGCAGUGGGGAAUCUUGCGCAAUGGGCGAAAGCCUGACGCAGCCAUGCCGCGUGAAUGAUGAAGGUCUUAGGAUUGUAAAAUUCUUUCACCGGGGACGAUAAUGACGGUACCCGGAGAAGAAGCCCCGGCUAACUUCGUGCCAGCAGCCGCGGUAAUACGAAGGGGCUAGCGUUGCUCGGGAAUUACUGGGCGUAAAGGGCGCGUAGGCGGAUCGUUAAGUCAGAGGUGAAAUCCCAGGGCUCAGCCCUGGAACUGCCUUUGAUACUGGCGAUCUUGAGUAUGAGAGAGGUAUGUGGAACUCCGAGUGUAGAGGUGAAAUUCGUAGAUAUUCGGAAGAACACCAGUGGCGAAGGCGGCAUACUGGCUCAUUACUGACGCUGAGGCGCGAAAGCGUGGGGAGCAAACAGGGAUUAGAUACC
RNAcentral lists this ribosomal RNA (430 nucleotides) under uncultured bacterium. RNAcentral's name for it is "bacterial SSU rRNA". It matches the Rfam family "Bacterial small subunit ribosomal RNA", at positions 340 to 786 of the family's 1533-position model. The record is from RNAcentral.